RNAcentral lists this long non-coding RNA (701 nucleotides) under Salvia miltiorrhiza (redroot sage). Its description in RNAcentral is "long non-coding RNA (SMIL_LNC000790)". The record is from RNAcentral. Lineage: Eukaryota; Viridiplantae; Streptophyta; Magnoliopsida; Lamiales; Lamiaceae.
CGUCGAGGAAAAGUAAUCCAACAUAUUGGCAAAUACUGAAAUUCGAGUUCUCCAAACCUGAAAUCAAAGAAGAAAUGUAUGCAACAUUAAUGAGAAAACAUCCAUUAGCAGUGAAAUGCGAAGCUGCAACCAUUUCGAAUUUACCAUUGCGAAUAUUGGGUAGCAAAUGCACGUUAAAGGCAAAAGUAGAACUCCUGCUUCUAAUCUACACUAACUAUAUGUCAAAUUAAUAGCUUUGCUGUAAAUCAACAUUUUAGAAUUCUAACCUUUCAAACACGAGGUAAACUAGAUUAAUAAAUAUAAUUUGUAGAAUCUCGCAAAGGUCACAUGAACUGAAAUUCCAUACUUGAUAAGAACAGAGUAAUAUAUUAUCUAGAAAAUUAACAGAGUAAUAUAUGAAGAACAUAAUAAUAUAUUGUAGUAGUUGAUCAGUACAUGAUUGAGAAAUUACCUAAUAACUUUCUGAACGUGUUGGAACUCUGCAGCUUGCGGCACAACCUAGAAACCAAAAGAAUCGCAAUUAAUGAGCUCCAUUUCCAAAUCAUAUUCUUCACGCACACAAAAUAAAUGAAUUAUGUAGAGUGAAUAUGAGCAAAAACCUUAGUGGGGACGGCCUAGAAUAGGGCCGUGAGGAAUUUAACGCAGAAGAGAAAUUGGCAAUCUCUAUACAACACUAAGAUUGUGGAGAUAAGGAUUGAUAA